This 911-nucleotide long non-coding RNA is filed under the name Homo sapiens (human). RNAcentral describes it as "non-protein coding lnc-TSR2-2:1". The record is from RNAcentral. Lineage: Eukaryota; Metazoa; Chordata; Mammalia; Primates; Hominidae.
CUGACCUCAAGUGAUCUGCCCGCCUCAGCCUCGCAAAGUGCUCCAAUUACAGGCGUGAGCCACCAUGCCCGGCCUUGGGCAUGUUAUUUCCAGGUUCAGAUAUUAGGUUUUCAGUCUGAGGGAAGCUGUUUCAGAACAUGGGCUCAGUCUACACUUUCAGCAGGGGGGAUGAGUUUGUGGCUUUAGUAUGUGAUGGGUCCUUCUGGGAACUCACCCUGGGCCCAUUUGCAGGAUAUCAGUCCCAGUCCCCAUACUCCUUCAAGGAGCUAAGUUUGGGGACUCAGUCCCGUGGCUCUACCUAGAGGCUCAUUAUGGGCAUUAUGGGGACAUGACUUUAAGGUUAAGGGUUUACAUGUUGAUGGUUCACUCUUUUUUUUUUUUGAGACAGGGAUCUGGCUCUGUCACCCAUGCUGGAGUGCACUGCUGCCAUCUCUGCUCAUUGCAACCCCCGCCUCCUGGGCCCAAGCUGAUCCUCCAACCUCAGCCUCCAGGGUAGCUUGGAGACCGCAGGCAUGUCCCACCAAGUCCUGCUAAUUUUUGUAUUUUUUUCAGAGACAGGGUUUUGCCAUGUUGCCCAGGCUGGUCUCAAACUCCUGGACUCAAGGAAUCUGCCCAGAUGGUUCACUCUUGAGACACUAAUUCUAGUGUUUCAGUUGGGAGAGGAUUUGAUAUGGGAGCCUGAUAUUUUCUCUGACAUAUGACUAAGCCUCUCACCGAGUGAGUGCCAGUUUCAGAGCUCAGUCUGCUCAGGUAUUGGAAGCCCAGUCUGGAGAUUUUAGCCUGAGGUCAAGCCUAGGAGAUACGGAUGUGAUGGCCUCACCCAGGGAUGUCUGUCUGGUGGGCUCUGUCUUGGGAUGCCAGGCUUGGUCCUAAUCUGAAAUUUUCUUUUCUUUCUUUUUUUUUUUUUUUUU